RNAcentral lists this ribosomal RNA (478 nucleotides) under uncultured bacterium. Its description in RNAcentral is "partial 16S ribosomal RNA". It matches the Rfam family "Bacterial small subunit ribosomal RNA", at positions 28 to 507 of the family's 1533-position model. The record is from RNAcentral.
GAUGAACGCUGGCGGCGUGCCUAACACAUGCAAGUCGAACGGAGUCCAGCCUUUAAGACCUUCGGGUCAAAGAGGGGAAGACUGAGUGGCGGACGGGUGAGUAACACGUGGGCAACCUGGCUCAUAGAGGGGGAUAACAGAGAGAAAUUUCUGCUAAUACCGCAUAAGCACACACUGCCGCAUGGCAGAGGGUGAAAAGAGAAUCGCUAUGAGAUGGACCCGCGUCUGAUUAGCCAGUUGGCAGGGUAAGAGCCUACCAAAGCGACGAUCAGUAGCCGAUCUGAGAGGAUGAACGGCCACAUUGAGACUGAGACACGGCCCAAACUCCUACGGGAGGCAGCAGUGGGGGAUAUUGCACAAUGGGGGGAACCCUGAUGCAGCGACGCCGCGUGAGUGAAGAAGUAUUUCGGUAUGUAAAGCUCUAUCAGCAGGGAAGAUAAUGACAGUACCUGAAUAAGAAGCCCCGGCUAACUACGUG